CAGUCGCCGCGGUAAAACGUAUGUCACAAGCGUUAUCCGGAUUUAUUGGGCGUAAAGCGCGUCUAGGCGGUUAAUUAAGUCUGAUGUGAAAAUGCGGAGCUCAACUCCGUAUUGCGUUGGAAACUGGUUAACUAGAGUACUGGAGAGGUAAGCGGAACUACAAGUGUAGAGGUGAAAUUCGUAGAUAUUUGUAGGAAUGCCGAUGGGGAAGCCAGCUUACUGGACAGAUACUGACGCUAAAGCGCGAAAGCGUGGGUAGCAAACAGGAUUAGAUACCCGCGUAGUCCCUGUCUCUUAUACA
Molecule: ribosomal RNA, 301 nt
Filed under: uncultured bacterium
Lineage: Bacteria
Description: partial 16S ribosomal RNA
Rfam family: Bacterial small subunit ribosomal RNA
Source: RNAcentral